CCAAGACUCAGCUUAUUAAUUUUUACAUCCCUUGGAGUCUGCCCACUCCUCCAUGGAAACCAUGGUUAUUCUAAAAUAUAAUUGUUUAUACCUUGCAACCCCCCCACCACCACCACCAGCAGCAGCACAAUGGAAACCUUAAAAGAAGGGGAUAUAGUGUCUAUCUUAUUCACAGCUGUAUCUUUAGUACCUUGAAAAAUUCUUAGCUAAUAUUAAGUAGUUGUUGAACAAAUGAGUAAACUUAUGAAUGAAUGAAUGAAUGAAUGAAUGAAUGAGAUGCUAUUAUGAUAGAGCUUCUGUUACCUCAUAGGAAAGACAAAUAAUGGGACAGGGAAUGUUCUUCAGAAAAAUGUUUCUGGGCCAAGAUUGAGUGGUAAUUAAGCACUACCUAGACAAAAGAAGGAAUGGGCAUUUUUGAGGAACUGGGAGCAACCUAGGGAGAGAAUUGAGAUGAUUGUGGUUGAAGAGAAAUCAACAAGUCAUCAUGCAGAGCCUAGGACUGAGAACAACGUCCUGGAAAGCAGAGCCAAUAUAUGAAGAGAAACCCAGUGCUGCAUCUUUACCUAUCCCAGGGUUUUUCAGAUGCCAAUUUCUUUUUUCUAAGCUGAUAGUCUCAUUGCUGCUGAAAGAUAACUCUGGAAGAAGAAAUGACUUGACACAGGAAAAUGGAAAGACUAAAGGGAAUACAAAAACAAUUAUCUAACACAGUUAUCCACCACAGCCAUAUUAUUUUCCAGGUAAAUAAACUGAGGGCCUGAAAAAUUAAGCAGCUUGUCCCAAGCUACUUUAUGGCAGUGCCAGAACUGGAACCCAAUGCACUGAUUACUAUGUUAGGGCACUUUUCACUCAACUCAGCUGAUGCUGAAAAAUGUAAACCUCAAUAGGACUUGGAAUUUGUAAUUUCUUUCAUUCAGUUUGUAUCAUUCAUUUACCACCCAUAUUUGAUUAUUUGUAUGGGCUCUCUCUGUCUUUUUCCCAAAUUUCCCACAUAAAACCAUAACACAUUGAUUGGAAACAGUAAAAAGAAAAAGAAAAUAACAAACAAAUGAGUGAAAUGAACAUGAAUGCUGUUCUGUAGAUAAGUUCUUGUUAUUCCUUUAAAGUGUUCUCUAUUUUUAAACUUUCUAUAGCAAUAUGGCUUAUCUCCAUAAUUAGCUGAAGACAGGGCUAUGUAAAUACUUAUUCC
This 1186-nucleotide long non-coding RNA is filed under the name Macaca mulatta (Rhesus monkey). RNAcentral's name for it is "lncRNA (ENSMMUG00000064207.1)". The record is from RNAcentral. Lineage: Eukaryota; Metazoa; Chordata; Mammalia; Primates; Cercopithecidae.